CUGUAGGGUACUAUAGUGCUAGGAAUGCAACUUUGUUCUGGGUCCAAAUCCUUAAAUCUUUCCCUCAUUCUGUACAGAGUAUUUAUGCUGCUAUCCUUUCCCUGUCACUAUGCCUUGUCAAUCUGAGGUCUUUAUUACUACUGUUUCUAGGCCUGUUCUCCUGCUUCUCUCCAUUUUUCCUGAGUUGAAACUACAGAUUAUGGAUUUUCUCUACCUCAUUGUUUGCUUUGACUACCUCCAUUGUUACCGCUUUCUACUUGUCUAUAUAAGGCCAUUAUCUCUCUACUGUUCUUAAUUACAUUCUGCAUCCUUUCUGUUGUUGCUGUCACAGGAUUUCUUUAGAACGUGGAUCUAUAAAAAUCUGUUGGUU
Non-coding RNA from Pelobates cultripes (western spadefoot toad), 370 nucleotides. Lineage: Eukaryota; Metazoa; Chordata; Amphibia; Anura; Pelobatidae. The record is from the annotation of a GenBank genome assembly.